UGGGGAAUCUUGCGCAAUGGGCAAAAGCCUGACGCAGCCAUGCCGCGUGAAUGAUGAAGGUCUUAGGAUUGUAAAAUUCUUUCACCGGGGACGAUAAUGACGGUACCCGGAGAAGAAGCCCCGGCUAACUUCGUGCCAGCAGCCGCGGUAAUACGAAGGGGGCUAGCGUUGCUCGGAAUUACUGGGCGUAAAGGGCGCGUAGGCGGAUCGUUAAGUCAGAGGUGAAAUCCCAGGGCUCAACCCUGGAACUGCCUUUGAUACUGGCGAUCUUGAGUAUGAGAGAGGUAUGUGGAACUCCGAGUGUAGAGGUGAAAUUCGUAGAUAUUCGGAAGAACACCAGUGGCGAAGGCGACAUACUGGCUCAUUACUGACGCUGAGGCGCUAAAGCGUGGGGAGCAAACAGG
This 404-nucleotide ribosomal RNA is filed under the name bacterium. Its description in RNAcentral is "partial 16S ribosomal RNA". It matches the Rfam family "Bacterial small subunit ribosomal RNA", at positions 355 to 776 of the family's 1533-position model. The record is from RNAcentral.